CGGACGGGUGAGUAAUGUCUGGGAAACUGCCUGAUGGAGGGGGAUAACUACUGGAAACGGUAGCUAAUACCGCAUAACGUCGCAAGACCUAAAAGAGGGGGACCUUCGGGCCUCUUGCCAUCGGAUGUGCCCAGAUGGGAUUAGCUAGUAGGUGGGGUAACGGCUCACCUAGGCGACGAUCCCUAGCUGGUCUGAGAGGAUGACCAGCCACACUGGAACUGAGACACGGUCCAG
Molecule: ribosomal RNA, 234 nt
Filed under: uncultured bacterium
Lineage: Bacteria
Description: partial 16S ribosomal RNA
Rfam family: Bacterial small subunit ribosomal RNA
Source: RNAcentral